CCCCAACGUAAAUGGUUGUUGAAAGGCGUAGCAUUGUAACUGCAUAUGUAUACUUUUUUGUUUACCGCGGGUUCGAAUCCCUCUCUUUCCG
This 91-nucleotide transfer RNA is filed under the name Cuscuta strobilacea. RNAcentral describes it as "tRNA-Ser". The record is from RNAcentral. Lineage: Eukaryota; Viridiplantae; Streptophyta; Magnoliopsida; Solanales; Convolvulaceae.